This 113-nucleotide non-coding RNA is filed under the name Anseongella ginsenosidimutans. The record is from RNAcentral. Lineage: Bacteria; Pseudomonadati; Bacteroidota; Sphingobacteriia; Sphingobacteriales; Sphingobacteriaceae.
UGGCCUGACGAACAGGAAUCGCAUAUAAGGCAUACAUGCCGGACAAGGAGGCCAUCAUCUCUAAAGUCCUGUACUUAUCCGGAAGGCAUGGAUGUAGAUGCGGCAGGUAUAAG